RNAcentral lists this ribosomal RNA (400 nucleotides) under phytoplankton environmental sample. RNAcentral describes it as "partial small subunit ribosomal RNA". It matches the Rfam family "Eukaryotic small subunit ribosomal RNA", at positions 587 to 989 of the family's 1831-position model. The record is from RNAcentral.
AGCUCCAAUAGCGUAUAUUAAAGUUGUUGCAGUUAAAAAGCUCGUAGUUGGAUGUCUACCCACGGACGGACGGCCCGCCUUCGGGUUGAGUGCUGGAAGUUCUGGGUUGUUUUUCGGUUGGCGGGUUUUCCCUUGAUUGGGCGAGCUUCGCGAUCCGGAUCGGUUACUUUGAAGAAAUUUGAGUGUUCAAAGCAGGCUUACGCCGUGAAAAUUGCAGCAUGGAAUAACAAGAUAGGACUGUCGUGUCUCAUUUUGUUGGUUCUGGGACCGUAGUAAUGAUUGAUAGGGACAGUUGGGGGUGCUGCUAUUCCGCGGCCAGAGGUGAAAUUCUCAGAUUCCCGGAAGAGCAACUUAUGCGAAAGCAUUCACCAAGGAUGUCUUCUUUAAUCAAGAACGAAAG